Molecule: ribosomal RNA, 637 nt
Filed under: uncultured bacterium
Lineage: Bacteria
Description: bacterial SSU rRNA
Rfam family: Bacterial small subunit ribosomal RNA
Source: RNAcentral
AUAUCGGAGACGGAUGGGCAUGCGGCGCAUUAGCUAGUUGGCGGGGUAACGGCCCACCAAGGCGACGAUGCGUAGGGGUUCUGAGAGGAAGGUCCCCCACACUGGUACUGAGACACGGACCAGACUCCUACGGGAGGCAGCAGUGAGGAAUAUUGGUCAAUGGGCGAGAGCCUGAACCAGCCAAGUCGCGUGAGGGAGUACUGCCCUAUGGGUUGUAAACCUCUUUUGUCGGGGAGCAAAAGCCGGACGUGUCCGGCUGUGAGAGUACCCGAAGAAAAAGCAUCGGCUAACUCCGUGCCAGCAGCCGCGGUAAUACGGAGGAUGCGAGCGUUAUCCGGAUUUAUUGGGUUUAAAGGGUGCGCAGGCGGAUUUUUAAGUCAGCGGUCAAAUCGUGGGGCUCAACCCCAUCCAGCCGUUGAAACUGGGGAUCUAGAGUGUGCGAGAGGUAUGCGGAAUGCGUGGUGUAGCGGUGAAAUGCAUAGAUAUCACGCAGAACCCCGAUUGCGAAGGCAGCAUACCGGUGCACAACUGACGCUCAGGCACGAAAGCGUGGGUAUCGAACAGGAUUAGAUACCCUGGUAGUCCACGCAGUAAACGAUGAAUGCUACCUGUUUGGCCAGAUUGAAGGCUGAGCGGG